CUACGGGGGGCACCAGUGGGGAAUAUUGGACAAUGGGGGAAACCCUGAUCCAGCAAUGCCGCGUGUGUGAAGAAGGCCUGCGGGUUGUAAAGCACUUUCGGUUGGGAGGACUGCUUCUAGCACUAAUAUUGUUGGAAGUUGACGUUACCUUCAGAAGAAGCACCGGCUAACUCCGUGCCAGCAGCCGCGGUAAUACGGAGGGUGCAAGCGGUAAUCGGAAUUACUGGGCGUAAAGCGCGCGUAGGCGGCUAGAUCAGUCGGGUGUGAAAGCCCCGGGCUUAACCUGGGAACUGCAUCCGAUACUGUCUAGCUUGAGUACAGGAGAGGAGAGUGGAAUUCCACAUGUAGCGGUGAAAUGCGUAGAUAUGUGGAGGAACACCAAUGGCGAAGGCAGCUCUCUGGCCUGAUACUGACGCUGAGGUGCGAAAGCGUGGGGAGCAAACAGGAUUACAUACCCGAGUAGUC
Molecule: ribosomal RNA, 465 nt
Filed under: uncultured bacterium
Lineage: Bacteria
Description: partial 16S ribosomal RNA
Rfam family: Bacterial small subunit ribosomal RNA
Source: RNAcentral